CACGNGCCGGAGGGCGAGGCUUCUCCUGCCGCGGGAUACAUUUGCUAAGGACUACAGAGCACGUAUUUUACGAUGCGUGGAAGAAAUCCCUCCAAAUGAACUAAAUAUCUCUCCUACUCAUCACGUCUCCUGUCCACAGGCAGUGGCUUUCAGACCUCCAGUGAAGUGCACGAAGAGCCUGGAGACGGCAUGUUCCUGCCGUGGGUGCCCAUGAGUUUGCUAGGCCUGCCUUUAUCCCAACAGCUUCUAUUGGAUGUGAGCAGACCAGUGGAACUAAAUGUCUCUCCUGCCAACAGCUGGAUCCAGGCAUUUCAGACCCAGCCUUUCAAACUGAAGUGGCCUGAGCCUGAGUUUUCCUGGUGUUACAUUCUGUCAUGGCAGAAUGCAUUCCUGUCCGUCUUGUCUAGUUGCAUUCUAGGCUUCAGAAUGGCAAAACCACCACUUGACAGAGAAAUGGAGUACCACAGCUGUGAAAACUGAACUGGACCACAUAACAACAAGCCUUCAAUAAUAUAUUCCUUUAAAGAAAUGCAGGGUUACCCAUAUCGGGGACCACUAAAGACGGAAGUAACAUGUCAUAGCUCAGAAAUUUCAAAGGACUAUAGAGACAGAAAAGCUAUUUCCAAGUAGAGCAGAUACUGUGCUGGAUGUUGUGUUAAGAUAGUGCACUUCCUUCUGAAUUUGUACUGAAAUGACACUGAGCCCCAAGACUAAAACCAAUGAGAUACAAAAUGUAAGUCACAGUGGACAAAUGCAGCAUUGAGCUGACAACUGAAAUACAGGGUAGGUAUUAAAUUUUAGUGUUCUUUCCAAGUUGCAUCUUGUUUCAUCUGUCAAAACCUUCUCUCAAGUUUCAUCAGAAUCUAGUAGACAUUGCUUCCUCUCCCAUAUUACUUUGCUACUUACCCCAAAGGCUGAUCUCAGUUUUGAAACUGCUGCAUUUUGGUAUGUGGUAGAGGUAUUCUUAUUAUUUUUAGAGCAGUAUUACUUUCUCUGUAUCUACACAGCUCAAAUUACAGCACACCAUUUUCAGCAAACUGAUUGAGAAUUCAUCCCAGGACCUGCAGUUAACCAGGAACUGCCUAGAAGCAGGAGACAAGGUCUUAAAGAGACAAGGCUCUUUAAGAAUAAACUGGUCAUGAUUAGUUUAUUCA
Long non-coding RNA from Cyanistes caeruleus (blue tit), 1154 nucleotides. NCBI's taxonomy places the organism in Eukaryota, Metazoa, Chordata, Aves, Passeriformes, Paridae. The record is from Ensembl.